GGCGAACGCUGGCGGCAUGCUUAACACAUGCAAGUCGCACGGGCAGUAGCAAUACUGUCAGUGGCGGACGGGUGAGUAACGCGUAGGAAUCUAUCCUUGAAUGGGGGACAACCGUGGGAAACUACGGCUAAUACCGCAUGAUGCCUGAGGGCCAAAGACGAAAGUCGUUUGAGGAGGAGCCUGCGUCUGAUUAGGUAGUUGGUGGGGUAAAGGCCUACCCAAGCCUACGAUCAGUAGCUGGUCUGAGAGGAUGAUCAGCCACAUUGGGACUGAGACACGGCCCAAACUCCUACGGGAGGCAGCAGUGGGGAAUAUUGGACAAUGGGCGCAAGCCUGAUCCAGCAAUGCCGCGUGGGUGAAGAAGGUCUUCGGAUUGUAAAGCCCUUUUGGCGGGGACGAUGAUGACGGUACCCGCAGAAUAAGCUCCGGCUAACUUCGUG
Molecule: ribosomal RNA, 440 nt
Filed under: uncultured bacterium
Lineage: Bacteria
Description: bacterial SSU rRNA
Rfam family: Bacterial small subunit ribosomal RNA
Source: RNAcentral